AAUACCUUCAGUAUUUGAACACUAAAAUUAAGAAGGAUCUAUAAAAUAUGGAACUGGCUAUAAAUAUAACCAGGUCCUACUUUAAUUUGAAAUUAAAGUGGAUGUAAGGACCCAGGACCAGGUCAGCAGUGAGCAGUGGUGACAUCUCUUUGUGUGACAGUCAAAGCAUCUAGCAGAAGUACCCACUGCAAAAUAUUUUUCUCAUACCUACAGGAGUUCUGGAUGGAAAAUGAAAAGAUGCAUCAGAGCACCAAUUUUGCAUUUAAGAUAAAGGCAUGGAUAUCUUUACAUCAGUGAGACUGAAGAAGUCAGUGGUGCGAAUCCUCCUCUUGUUAGUUCUUGUUUUCUGAAUUGCAAUAAUUAAGAAAAGAAAUACGAUGUGCAAUAAAGCUGGGAUGAAGGAAAAACCACGGUUGCAUUUCACAGCGGAAAAGACAAUUCAGAGAUCUGUGAAAUGUGCCUGAGGGCUCCAGCUUAGUCAUAAGAGGACACCAGGCAGCCAGGCCCAGAUGUAAAUGUUCAGAUUCACAAUCCCAGAGUCCAAAAAAUCUGCCAGUGUGGAGGUUAUAAAUAUCUUGAGGACAAAGUCAGUUGAAAAAAUAAGGGCUAUGUUCCAAGAAAGCAAUGCCGGUGUGUUGAAAGAAACAGGGAAUCAGAGAAAAACUUUAUAAUUGAAAAUAAGCCUUAAGCAAGUGUAAGUUGUGCCAGGUAUUAUAUGGCAUUUGAAUGGCAAAAGCUUGUCAUCCUCUUUUGCUGUUGUUUGGUACUUGCAAUCUUUAAUAACAGUGUAAUUCAGCUCCUUCUUUGUAAAAAUAAAUAGAUAAAUAAAAUGAAGUUUGCA
Molecule: long non-coding RNA, 841 nt
Filed under: Numida meleagris (helmeted guineafowl)
Lineage: Eukaryota; Metazoa; Chordata; Aves; Galliformes; Numididae
Description: lncRNA (ENSNMEG00000004213.1)
Source: RNAcentral